GAGGCGCCGGGCGGAGCGGCUCCGGGCCGAAACGCCAUGCGGAGGGGCGAGCGCAGGGACGCCGGGGGUCCGCGGCCCGAGUCCCCGGUGCCCGCGGGCAAGGCCUCGCUGGAGGAGCCGCCUGACGGGCCGUCUGCCGGCCAAGCCACCGGGCCGGGCGAGGGCCGCCGCAGCACCGAGUCCGAGGUCUACGACGACGGCACCAACACCUUCUUCUGGGCACAAAUAGUUUACGUUUCAUGGAGGCAAGUCCUGGGCAACAUGCUUUAAGUGCAUUGUUCACUUAAUUUUCAUGAUGUCCUUGGAAGUCAGAAGCUUCCCCAUUUAGAUAUGAGGAAACUGAGGCACGGAGGGGUGCAUCAUCUCUCCAAGGACACACUCCGGUGGAUGUAGGAACUGGGUUAGACAUGAGGACACACUCUGGUGGAUGUAGGACCU
This 438-nucleotide small RNA is filed under the name Pan troglodytes (chimpanzee). Its description in RNAcentral is "processed transcript". Lineage: Eukaryota; Metazoa; Chordata; Mammalia; Primates; Hominidae. The record is from RNAcentral.